This is a long non-coding RNA of Nerophis ophidion (straightnose pipefish), 320 nucleotides long. RefSeq lists it as uncharacterized. The record is from RefSeq and is a predicted model, not a curated record. Lineage: Eukaryota; Metazoa; Chordata; Actinopteri; Syngnathiformes; Syngnathidae. The transcript has 3 exons.
GUAUUGUCUUGUCGAUGUCACGUCUAGUCGCUCUUGUGAUGUGUUAUCGCUCCUGUCGUGUCGUACCUUGUCUUUGCGGCGUAGCGGCUGUUGUGCUGCCGGGACAAAAAGGACGCCACACAAGCUCCAAGUGUUGCAGAAUCCACCCACAGUGUCCCCGGCGGCUCUGCGCUGGCAAUAAGCUCCGGCAAUCAGACCAUGCAUCCAUCCGUGCGUCCAUCCGUGCAUCCACCCAUGAUUGUCUCGAACAGGACUUUACCCAAGAAGGUCCUCAAAUGGAAGGUACUUUUCCUUGUUGAUGUCUCAAGAAGGAUAGAAAU